AUAGCGUAUAUUAAAGUUGUUGUGGUUAAAAAGCUCGUAGUUGAACCUUGGGCCUGGCUGGCCGGUCCGCCUCACCGCGUGUACUGGUUUGGCCGGGCCUUUCCCUCUGUGGAACCCCAUGCCCUUCACUGGGUGUGGCGGGGAAACAGGACUUUUACUUUGAAAAAAUUAGAGUGCUCAAGGCAGGCCUAUGCUCGAAUACAUUAGCAUGGAAUAAUAAAAUAGGACGUGUGGUUCUAUUUUGUUGGUUUCUAGGACCGCCGUAAUGAUUAAUAGGGAUAGUUGGGGGCAUUAGUAUUCAAUUGUCAGAGGUGAAAUUCUUGGAUUUAUUGAAGACUAACUACUG
This 346-nucleotide ribosomal RNA is filed under the name uncultured eukaryote. RNAcentral describes it as "SSU rRNA". It matches the Rfam family "Eukaryotic small subunit ribosomal RNA", at positions 594 to 945 of the family's 1831-position model. The record is from RNAcentral.